Diorhabda carinulata is the source of this 2465-nucleotide long non-coding RNA. RefSeq lists it as uncharacterized. The transcript is spliced from 2 exons. Lineage: Eukaryota; Metazoa; Arthropoda; Insecta; Coleoptera; Chrysomelidae. The record is from RefSeq and is a predicted model, not a curated record.
UUCAUUUAAGGCCUGCAACCAACAUUCCACACACAUAUCCUAGAAGUAUAUAAGGACUCAUGAUACACAUAACAUAUUCACCUGCAGUGCAGCAGCUCCUAUAUCAGGGCCAACACCACCAACCUACCUAAAAAUUUUUAAACGAAUCUCUCUCUCACACACACAUGUGUCCACAAACCACCUAUUUUAUAGACAUUUCACACAAAUAGCCCAAGGUUGAAUUUGAAGUUUAAAUGGGAAGGAAUUUCCCACUAUUAAAGUGCUGACAAUAAAUUAUUUUCUUUCUCAAUCCAGAUAUUUCGUUCAAGUUGCUCAUGCUUGAGAAUGCGCAGAACCCAGCUGGAACCUCGGAGGAUAGAGAAAGCGUUAUCAUUCUGUCUUCCUUAAUCGCAACAGCUUUCAUUUAUAGAAACUGUCCAUAUAAAAGUAUUGCAUAUGUAUAUGUCUGCCAUCAUAAUUAUAUAUCAAGUUGACGAAUUUAACACCAAACAGGAUAAUUUAAUGUUACUAAAUAUUCUACAGGUUCUCUUGAUGAUGCAUAAUGCAUAAUUUAGAUUGCGUUUUUUGGCUUAUUUUAGCUGCAUAAAAUGAUUUAGUUUAUGUUUUAAUUGCUUUUUCAAGCCCUUAGAAACAUUUUAGAAGAAUUUUCAACGAUUUUAUUGUGAUAUUGAAUGGUGUGAUUGUUUAUCCCGUCAUUAAUGAAGCAAAAUCAUGGAUCUACAGAGGAAAAAGAAAACAAGUGAAUAUUCAACAAAGAAUUUUCGACUAAUAGUACUCGAAAUAAACACAUGAAUUAUGUCGUCCUCCAACGUAGGCUCCUAUAAGAAAAUGCUGACGGCACGCAUCCCACAGUCGAUUUCCCUGAAGCAGCGUUUUCAGAAACUCCAGCUAAAUCGCCGGUGUUCUCAAGAACCAUAAUAUAAAAGGCAGUCUUAAACUCGCUUUCAGUUCAGUAACAUAUAUUUUUAUCGUAAUUCUCUUCAUAUUUUCCAUUACAUAAAAAAUACUACAGUUAAAGUUUUCUUCUUAAUUUGGAUUUUUUCACAGUACACUACCUGGCAAGAAGUAGCAACCAUCCAAAAUAUUUUUAAUUUAUUUUUUAUGCCGCUCACUGUAUAAAUAUAUUGAAAAAUUUACAUUUGACAGUAGAUUUUAAAAAGUCACUACAUUCUGGUUAUGUAUUUAAAUUUGGCGGGCUUUGCUUUGGUGCAAUUUUCUGUGUGCCAUUUAGCGUAUGCUUUCCUAAUUGUUGUGUUGUGGCCGUGUUUUUGUGAUUUUCAAUAAAUGUUGUGUAUAACAUAAAGAACCUAUUAAUAUAAUGCAUUUGUUCCUAAAUUCUCAAAAGGACGUAAAACAUUUUAAUAGAUGUCUGCCGGCUAUAAACAAUACUAAAUUAACUGCAAGGGAUUUGUUACGAAGUUCAAGUAAUAAAAUUUAUAAUAAAUACACACACAUUAUGCUUAGUUUCUUAUUAAACUUAAAGGAUUAUCAGAUUACUUUCAAAAGCCUAUUUGCCUACAUUUUACUUGAGUAGCGAAACAAUAACUUAAAUAUUUUUAUCCUAACAAGAUUACAACUCCAAAUUUAUUUUUUUUUUUUUUCAUAAUUGUUCUCAAAAUUUGAUUUUUGUGAUGUUAAAUAUUUGAAAUAUGCCAUUUUCAGAAAUACUAGAAAAAUUUGAAAAUUCAUUAGUUCUGAAGUAUCAGUAUGAACUACCUUGAAAUAAUUAAAAUUACGCCCUUUCAAUAAAACUUAAAUUUGCCAGUAUUUUAUGAAGGAUGUCAUAUUAGUAGUUCAACUUCAGACCCCCAGUCAACGUCAAUUUGGUUACAACAAAUAACAUUUAGUGAUCUAAUUAUAGGUGUGUGGGUAUGCCUAUACAAAAAUAUGAAGUAUAAUGUAUGCUGCAUUCCUAUUAUAAAGUUUUAUUUUUAUUUCAAAAGUAAUAUUUCAUGCAAAGACAUGUCUAUAUAUAUUUUAUUUAUACAAGAUGGCUCAAAGUCAUUACAUUUGCACAGAUACACAUUUCUAAAAUAUUUUGAAGUAUACAGCGACAACAUAAAGUAGUUUUUUUAAAUAGGACACCCUCUAUAUUUGUUUACCAAUAAAUUUAGCGUAAAAUUCUGCAUCUUUUCCCAUAAAUUUUAGACGUUGCCAAGUUGGAGCGAAAAAUAUGAGGAUUUGACGAAAAAGUAAACAAUGAAUGUGCCGUUUAAAAUAAUUCUAGUUUUUGUGACAAAAUCAAACCAGUAAUUUUCUACCUUUAAAAACUGUAAUAAAAUAAAUAAGUAUACAAAACACCCGCAACUACUAAGGAAGACGUGAAGAAUAGAAUUAAGGUUUUUCGAACUGCCGAUGUCAAUAUGUUACAUCGUGCUAGUAGAGCUUUUGAAGUUCGCAUUCAUUAUUGUAUGCAAGUAAAUGGUAGUCAUUUUGAACAUUUAAUAAAAUAGUUGUUAUCUAAA